GCGGAUUUAGCUCAGUUGGGAGAGCGCCAGACUGAAGUCAACUUCGGUCCUGAAAUCUGGAGGUCUUGUGUUCGAUCCACAAAAUUCGCA
Molecule: transfer RNA, 90 nt
Filed under: Diutina rugosa
Lineage: Eukaryota; Fungi; Ascomycota; Pichiomycetes; Serinales; Debaryomycetaceae
Also listed under: 1 other name
Description: Candida rugosa tRNA
Rfam family: tRNA
About the family: Transfer RNA (tRNA) molecules are approximately 80 nucleotides in length. Their secondary structure includes four short double-helical elements and three loops (D, anti-codon, and T loops).
Source: Rfam by way of RNAcentral